GGGCCUGUAGCUCAGGGGUAGAGCGCUCGCUUUGCAUGCACAUGAAAAUGCGAGAGGCCUAGGGUUCAAAUCCCUACCGGUCCA
Molecule: non-coding RNA, 84 nt
Organism: Nemania serpens
Lineage: Eukaryota; Fungi; Ascomycota; Sordariomycetes; Xylariales; Xylariaceae
Source: the annotation of a GenBank genome assembly